UUUUAUAAGAUAUAAUUAAUAAUAUGAUCUGCUCAAUGAAAUCUUAAAUAGCCGCAUAAUCUGUGCUAAGGUAGCAUAAUCAUUUGUCUUUUAAAUGAAGACCAGCACAAAUGAUUGAACAUUUCAAUUAAUAUUUUCAAUUCAAUUAUUAAAAUUAUCCUAAAAGUAAAAAGACUUUUAUACUAUAGAUAGACAACAAGACCCUAUUGAACUUAACUACAGUUAAACUGGGGAAGUUAAUUAAUUAUUACUUUAAUUUACUUUUAAAUAUAAAUAAACCAAUAUUAUUGAUAUUAAUAGUUACCAUAGGGAUAACAGCGUAAUAAAUCUUUUAAGUCCUUAUAUAAAUAUAAGAUUGCGACCUCGAUGUUGAAUAACAACCUAAUUUACGCAAAAGUAAAUAAAGGAAGUCUGUUCGACUUUUUAAAAGUUACA
This 435-nucleotide ribosomal RNA is filed under the name Nuliodon fishburni. RNAcentral describes it as "partial 16S ribosomal RNA". The record is from RNAcentral. Lineage: Eukaryota; Metazoa; Arthropoda; Arachnida; Araneae; Miturgidae.